RNAcentral lists this non-coding RNA (23 nucleotides) under Arabidopsis thaliana (thale cress). Lineage: Eukaryota; Viridiplantae; Streptophyta; Magnoliopsida; Brassicales; Brassicaceae. The record is from RNAcentral.
GCACAGUGCGGUGCAUUUCAAAU